This 1819-nucleotide long non-coding RNA is filed under the name Nicotiana tabacum (common tobacco). Its description in RNAcentral is "long non-coding RNA (NTAB_LNC013515)". Lineage: Eukaryota; Viridiplantae; Streptophyta; Magnoliopsida; Solanales; Solanaceae. The record is from RNAcentral.
AACAACAUACACGAAAUAGGAUAGUAAAUACUAACAUAUCCUCAACUUGAAACAGUAAAGCGUCAAUCCAAACCAGCAGAGUGAUAUUAUGACUUAAACAUAAUAGAAAUGAAUACAUGCUCCUCUCAACAGUAAUGAAUACAAAGGCUGCCUUACACAUUGAUCAACAAAUGAACUAGCUAUUCAGCCUUGCAAACAUAUAUAACUUCCGGAUCUUAACCAGCAUUUAUCAUGACCUUUCAUACACUUUUAGCAACCAGCAUAAUGAAUUACAAAUUGUUACUAACACAUCAUUCCUUAUUCAAAACAGAACCGUAGGAGACAUAGGAAAAUUAAAUUGAAUCAGAUGACUUUUAAAAAUGCAGAAACAUCAAGCAUACGAUUAUAUUAUUACAAACAUCAACUUGAGUACACCAAACUUCAUGUCCAUCUCCUUUUCACACAUUAGAAGGUGAGAUGAAUACCUGGAAAUGAGAGUAAAGAGGGGGUAAGGUGCAGCAGUAGCAUCAACAGGACUCAGCAUUAAAAAUAAACCAAAGGAAACCAGUUUUUUUUUUAGCCAAAUUCAGCCCAGUAGAAGGAUCAACUGAUACUUAAUAAUCAAAAACAGUCAGAACUUGAACCAAACACUUGAAAAUCAGCACAUUCAAAUCAUUUCAACCUAUGAUUAUUCAGGAAUUGUUUCACAAAUGAAAAGCCUCAAAAUCUCGGAAAUUUUAAUGGAACAGUUAGUAUAUAUUUUUUCAGUAUUUCAGAAUCUCUCCUCUCUCUCUCUCUCUCUCUUUUGUAUCCUUUUUCUAUAUCCUUCUUCUGAUUUUCAGCUCCCUUAAAUGGGCAUUCAAUUAGUGCAUUUUCCACUACAACUUAUCUUCUCCAUUUUAAAUUAUCCACUCAAAUUAGUGCUUUUAGUUAAUUCAAUAAUGUAAAUACUACCCUACCACUAUUAGAAGCUUCUCAAUUAGUGACCACUUGCAUAAAACUUAUAAUAGUCAAUUCUUAUUAAUACAAUGUUAAACAAGAAAUUAUACCAAACUAGUGAACUAAAAUUAUUCUGACUAAGUGAUUAAACGAGAUACGAUUUCAAAGUUUUCUGAUAUACCAAUUAUACGAAACAAAUCUACAAAACCAAUCUUAAAGAAACAAACAGUGAACAGAAUAAUCUAUAUCAGAAUACUGAUCGAAUUUCAAUUGAAAUUGACCAGGAAAAGAAAAAGAGAUGAGGAAGACGAAUAUCAGAAUAACACUAAUGUAAAUAAACAAAGACUAAGAAAGAACUCACCGGACAGGCUAGAACUUGGAUUUGGCUUUGAUACUCUGACUCACCCCAAACUGAUGCUAAUCAUUUGUUCUUUAUCAAGAACAAAUGAACAACAUCGGUUUUGUAGUGAAUCGAUCUUCUAAUCACAAAAACUAGAGGCUUGGAUCGAUGCAUGUCAUCAGGCUCAACGGAAACUGAUUUUGAACUUUUAAGGUUUGAACUUAGAUUUAAAAUUCGACGAGUUCCGGUCAGAUUCGAAGGAAACCAAUGAUGGAUUUGGUAUGAGGGAGUUAUGGGGGUUGUGUGGUGUUAAUUUGGGGUCGAUUGGGUAGCUAGGGUUCGGGGAUUUUGGGACCGGACAGCCUCGAUUGAAGAUUCGAGAAGUACUAGGGUGAUUCGAGGGAAACCGAUCGGGGAUUUGGAAAGAGGGGGUUGGGGUGGUUCUGGGGUAUGAUUUUGGAGGUGAACGGAGCCGGCGCCGCCACCGGAAGGCGGUGGGGAAUGGUGGCGGCUGGUCUCUAGGGUUUGGGUGAGGAAGAUGAGCGAUGAGCUGGGGGGGGG